This 83-nucleotide small RNA is filed under the name Salmonella enterica. RNAcentral's name for it is "partial RtT sRNA". It matches the Rfam family "RtT RNA", at positions 1 to 82 of the family's 130-position model. Rfam says of the family: This family represents a bacterial cis-regulatory element known as RtT RNA. The exact function of RtT is unknown although it is thought that it may be involved in changing the cellular response in relation to amino acid starvation. The record is from RNAcentral. Lineage: Bacteria; Pseudomonadati; Pseudomonadota; Gammaproteobacteria; Enterobacterales; Enterobacteriaceae.
AUAUCUCUCUGUACGGGAAGGAUGAGAAGCUUCGACCAAGGUUCGAUUCGAGCGCAGCGAGAAAGCGUUGCCGCAGGCAACGA